AGUCGAGGGGCAGCGGGGCGGCAGGCUUGCCUGCCGCCGCCGGCGACCGGCGCACGGGUGAGUAACACGUAUGCAACCUGCCCGUGGCAGGGGGAUAAGCGGGGGAAACCCCGUCUAAUACCGCGUAACGCGGCCUAGGGACAUCCCAAGGCCGCCAAAGGGAGCAAUCCCGGCCACGGAUGGGCAUGCGGCGCAUUAGCUAGUCGGCGGGGUAACGGCCCACCGAGGCGACGAUGCGUAGGGGUUCUGAGAGGAAGGCCCCCCACACUGGUACUGAGACACGGACCAGACUCCUACGGGAGGCAGCAGUGAGGAAUAUUGGUCAAUGGGCGCGAGCCUGAACCAGCCAAGUCGCGUGAGGGAGGACGGCCCUACGGGUUGUAAACCUCUUUUGCCGGGGAGCAACGGGCGCCACGUGUGGCGCCACUGAGAGUACCCGGAGAAAAAGCAUCGGCUAACUCCGUGCCAGCAGCCGCGGUAAUACGGAGGAUGCGAGCGUUAUCCGGAUUUAUUGGGUUUAAAGGGUGCGUAGGCGGAUCGUUAAGUCAGUGGUCAAAUUGUGGGGCUCAACCCCUUCCCGCCAUUGAAACUGGCGAUCUUGAGUGGAAGAGAAGUAUGCGGAAUGCGUGGUGUAGCGGUGAAAUGCAUAGAUAUCACGCAGAACCCCGAUUGCGAAGGCAGCAUGCCGGCUUCCUACUGACGCUGAAGCACGAAAGCGUGGGGAUCGAACAGGAUUAGAUACCCUGGUAGUCCACGCGGUAAACGAUGAGCGCUAGGUGUCCGGGGGGAAUGGCCCCUGGGUGCCACAGCGAAAGCGUUAAGCGCUCCACCUGGGGAGUACGCCGGCAACGGUGAAACUCAAAGGAAUUGACGGGGGCCCGCACA
This 885-nucleotide ribosomal RNA is filed under the name uncultured bacterium. RNAcentral's name for it is "bacterial SSU rRNA". It matches the Rfam family "Bacterial small subunit ribosomal RNA", at positions 60 to 927 of the family's 1533-position model. The record is from RNAcentral.